GGCUUUGGUGGUCUAGAGGUUAGAGCGUCCGCCUCGGAUGCGGGAGGUCGCAGGUUCCGAACCUCGACCGAGUCA
Potamilus streckersoni is the source of this 75-nucleotide non-coding RNA. The record is from the annotation of a GenBank genome assembly. NCBI's taxonomy places the organism in Eukaryota, Metazoa, Mollusca, Bivalvia, Unionida, Unionidae.